UAAAUUACACACAAUGGUUGGAAUGACCACACAGAGAUAAAAUCUCCAAUAACGGGGUUCCACAACAUACAAAAACAUAACAAUAAUUUACACUUUGGCGUGACAGAUAUUAGACAUACUAAUAAACAGAUAAACAAAUUAACAGGCCACAAAUUGAAACAAACAACGAUAAGACAACGGAAUGAGAUCCUCAUUGAAAUUCUGAACUCGUGAAUGAAGUACUUGAGUAAUUAGAAGCUGUUAAGAUUGUUUAUGUAUCUAGCAAGCUAUAUUGGAAUUUAA
This is a non-coding RNA of Paramuricea clavata, 282 nucleotides long. Lineage: Eukaryota; Metazoa; Cnidaria; Anthozoa; Malacalcyonacea; Plexauridae. The record is from the annotation of a GenBank genome assembly.